GGGUUGUGAGGUUAAGCGACUAAGCGUACACGGUGGAUGCCCUGGCAGUCAGAGGCGAUGAAGGACGUGCUAAUCUGCGAAAAGCGUCGGUAAGGUGAUAUGAACCGUUAUAACCGGCGAUGUCCGAAUGGGGAAACCCAGUGCAAUUCGUUGCACUAUCGUUAACUGAAUACAUAGGUUAACGAGGCGAACCGGGGGAACUGAAACAUCUAAGUACCCCGAGGAAAAGAAAUCAACCGAGAUUCCCCCAGUAGCGGCGAGCGAACGGGGAGCAGCCCAGAGUCUGAAUCAGCUUGUGUGUUAGUGGAACGGUCUGGAAAGUCCGACGGUACAGGGUGAUAGUCCCGUACACCAAAAUGCACAGGCUGUGAACUCGAAGAGUAGGGCGGGACACGUGGUAUCCUGUCUGAAUAUGGGGGGACCAUCCUCCAAGGCUAAAUACUCCUGACUGACCGAUAGUGAACCAGUACCGUGAGGGAAAGGCGAAAAGAACCCCGGCGAGGGGAGUGAAAAAGAACCUGAAACCGUGUACGUACAAGCAGUGGGAGCACCUUCGGGUGUGACUGCGUACCUUUUGUAUAAUGGGUCAGCGACUUAUAUUCUGUAGCAAGGUUAACCGUAUAGGGGAGCCGCAGGGAAACCGAGUCUUAACUGGGCGUUAAGUUGCAGGGUAUAGACCCGAAACCCGGUGAUCUAGCCAUGGGCAGGUUGAAGGUUGGGUAACACUAACUGGAGGACCGAACCGACUAAUGUUGAAAAAUUAGCGGAUGACUUGUGGCUGGGGGUGAAAGGCCAAUCAAACCGGGAGAUAGCUGGUUCUCCCCGAAAGCUAUUUAGGUAGCGCCUCGUGAACUCAUCUUCGGGGGUAGAGCACUGUUUCGGCUAGGGGGUCAUCCCGACUUACCAACCCGAUGCAAACUACGAAUACCGAAGAAUGUUAUCACGGGAGACACACGGCGGGUGCUAACGUCCGUCGUGAAGAGGGAAACAACCCAGACCGCCAGCUAAGGUCCCAAAGUCAUGGUUAAGUGGGAAACGAUGUGGGAAGGCACAGACAGCCAGGAUGUUGGCUUAGAAGCAGCCAUCAUUUAAAGAAAGCGUAAUAGCUCACUGGUCGAGUCGGCCUGCGCGGAAGAUGUAACGGGGCUAAACCAUGCACCGAAGCUGCGGCAGCGACCACUAUGUGUUGUUGGGUAGGGGAGCGUUCUGUAAGCCUGCGAAGGUGUGCUGUG
RNAcentral lists this ribosomal RNA (1232 nucleotides) under Klebsiella pneumoniae. RNAcentral's name for it is "bacterial LSU rRNA". It matches the Rfam family "Bacterial large subunit ribosomal RNA", at positions 1 to 1265 of the family's 2925-position model. Lineage: Bacteria; Pseudomonadati; Pseudomonadota; Gammaproteobacteria; Enterobacterales; Enterobacteriaceae. The record is from RNAcentral.